UACAGAGGGUGCGAGCGUUGUCCGGAAUCACUGGGCGUAAAGGGCGCGUAGGUGGCUGGGUAAGUGUGCGGUGAAAGCCCGGGGCUCAACCCCGGGUCGGCCGUGCAGACUGCUUGGCUUGAACAUAGUAGAGGCAGGUGGAAUUCCGGGUGUAGCGGUGGAAUGCGUAGAGAUCCGGAAGAACACCGGUGGCGAAGGCGGCCUGCUGGGCUAUUGCUGACACUGAGGCGCGACAGCGUGGGGAGCAAACAGG
This 253-nucleotide ribosomal RNA is filed under the name uncultured bacterium. RNAcentral describes it as "partial 16S ribosomal RNA". It matches the Rfam family "Bacterial small subunit ribosomal RNA", at positions 524 to 776 of the family's 1533-position model. The record is from RNAcentral.